RNAcentral lists this ribosomal RNA (429 nucleotides) under Chloroflexota bacterium. RNAcentral's name for it is "Chloroflexi bacterium partial 16S ribosomal RNA". It matches the Rfam family "Bacterial small subunit ribosomal RNA", at positions 355 to 776 of the family's 1533-position model. Lineage: Bacteria; Bacillati; Chloroflexota. The record is from RNAcentral.
UGGGGAAUAUUGCACAAUGGGCGCAAGCCUGAUGCAGCCAUGCCGCGUGUAUGAAGAAGGCCUUCGGGUUGUAAAGUACUUUCAGUCGGGAGGAAGGUGGUAAGGUUAAUAACCUUAUCAAUUGACGUUACCGACAGAAGAAGCACCGGCUAACUCCGUGCCAGCAGCCGCGGUAAUACGGAGGGUGCAAGCGUUAAUCGGAAUUACUGGGCGUAAAGCGCACGCAGGCGGUUGAUUGAGUCAGAUGUGAAAUCCCCGGGCUUAACCCGGGAAUUGCAUCUGAUACUGGUCAGCUAGAGUCUUGUAGAGGGGGGUAGAAUUCCAUGUGUGGCGGUGAAAUGCGUGGAGAUGUGGAGGAAUACCGGUGGCGAAGGCGGCCCCCUGGACAAAGACUGACGCUCAGGUGCGAAAGCGUGGGGAGCAAGCAGG